UUACCAGAAGUUUCACAGGGAUUUAUUGUGAAAUUACAUUUUUGACAUUUACACAAAAAUAGGCAAAUGUACUAAAAUACAAAGUUAAAUAAAUAAUACAUUCUUUCGAUUGUAAAAGAGAGACAGUCAGAAUUCAGAAUGACAAUUUAAAUAGUUUGUCAUAAUAUAUAAGCCCCUCAAAUAUUAACAGGCUUUCUAGAAUCUAUGCUAAAAAUUAACUGCCUUGUAAGGAUUCAGUUCUUCUUCCCUGCUCAAUUGCUAAUAUAACAUACACAAUAAAAUUUCUUAGCAAAAUAUAAUUCAGAGGCACCAUCUGAUCUGAGAUCUCAGAUUCUAACAUGUUAUGGCUUUUAAUAUGAACACUGUAUAACAAGAAUUUAAACAAAUUAUGGCAAGUAAAUUAAAACAUUUAUAUUUUAACAUCUAUAGACUUUAUUAGGUGUUCCUUAUACAGUCAUCUGGUAUGUUUAAAGAGUGAGCAAUCAUAUAAAAGGAAAUAUGGUCAUAACUGAUUGAAGUAAUAAAAUCCUGAAACUAAAUAACAUCUCAUAAUUCAUUGCAUAGCAUAUAUUAGAUUUCAUUACAUCAGUAUAUAGCUUAGUAGUAAAUUCUCCUGAUGGCCAUAAACCUUUAAGGUGUUGUCAUCCUGAAAAACGAAGGGGAGGAGUUGGUGGGGGCACAGAAGGGAUAAAUCUUCAACAGCGCUGGUGUGGCGUACCUUGAAGUUGUAAAGUUGUAGCGCAUCGCCACCUACUGGCCAGAUUUAGUACCUUAUUCCAAUAAAGGGACGUUUCCCUAUAGUAUUUUUCUAAAGAGUAAUGUGUCUCCUUCACUCUUUGACUGUAUUCAUCUCUGAUACUGUAGUUCCUAAAAUUCAUGUCACUCAUACAACGUAAAUCCAUCUGCACUUCACCCACCAGGCUGUGAAGGAUUUGGUUAGCAUAGUUUUGAGAUGCGCCUAAAUUUUUAAUUCCAAGUACUUUGGUUAUUUUCAAAGCUGGGUGUCUGUAUUAACAAAACUCCAUCCUGUUCGUGAAUAUAGAAGGGUUAUUAUGGCUAUAGGAAUUUUGGACUUUGGCCCAGUUUUAUUAUCAAUGAGUCUGUUAGCAAGUCAGAAGUAAUGCAGAGCUAAUACUGCAUUAUUAUAUAAAGGGAAUCUUUAAAGUAAAUGGCUACAUGAAAUCAUUACCAAAAUCCACAGUUUGGAUUUUAUUAAGAUUCUAGAAUUUAAAAAUAGGCAAUGAGGGGGCCGGCCUGGUGGCACAGUGGUUAAGUUUGUGCGCUCCACUUUGAGAGCCCAGGGUUUGUUGGUUCAGAUCCCUGCUGCAGACCUACGCGUGGCUUAUCAAGUCGUGCUGUGACAACAUCCCACAUAUGAAAUAGACGGAGAGGGGCACAGAUGUUAGCUCAGGGACAACCUUCCUCAGGAAAGAAAAAACCAACAACAAAAAAUACAGACAAUGGUGCCGCUAGUGAAGAUUUCUUCACUAAAAUUUUGGUACCAUUCAUAGAGCAUCACAAGUAUUUCAGCCACGAGAACUCAGUUUGGGAACAUUACCACACAUCUCUGUGCACUUUGGGAUUAGGAGCAGAGUCAGCAUUUGGGGUCUGAGGCCCCAGAUCCCUUACUCUGCUUCCUAUGCCAUGACAACGUGAAGGUUGGGUGAUGCACUCCAAUAAUGAACAUAAGCCAGGUGUCCAUUUUUUGGAUGGAACUGCAAAGUACAGUAAAAUAGAAAAACAGAAAGUAAAACACUUCAGAGUAAACGAAUCUUACUUUGAAGAAACUAUAUACUCGAAACCUAAAUCAACCUC
Long non-coding RNA from Equus caballus (horse), 1815 nucleotides. The record is from Ensembl. NCBI's taxonomy places the organism in Eukaryota, Metazoa, Chordata, Mammalia, Perissodactyla, Equidae.